AUACGGAGGGUGCAAGCGUUAAUCGGAAUUACUGGGCGUAAAGCGCGCGUAGGCGGUUUGUUAAGUUGGAUGUGAAAGCCCCGGGCUUAACCUGGGAGGGUCAUUCAAAACUGGCAGACUAGAGUGUGGUAGAGGGUAGUGGAAUUCCUAGUGUAGCGGUGAAAUGCGUAGAGAUUAGGAGGAACACCAGUGGCGAAGGCGACUGCCUGGACCAACACUGACGCUGAGGUGCGAAAGCGUGGGUAGCGAACAGGAUUAGAAACCCCGGUAGUCC
This 274-nucleotide ribosomal RNA is filed under the name uncultured bacterium. RNAcentral's name for it is "partial 16S ribosomal RNA". It matches the Rfam family "Bacterial small subunit ribosomal RNA", at positions 523 to 796 of the family's 1533-position model. The record is from RNAcentral.